Lates calcarifer (barramundi perch) is the source of this 1776-nucleotide long non-coding RNA. RefSeq lists it as uncharacterized. Lineage: Eukaryota; Metazoa; Chordata; Actinopteri; Centropomidae. The record is from RefSeq and is a predicted model, not a curated record. The transcript is spliced from 4 exons.
CUCUGUAAUUCUUUCCCUCUCAGCCCUCCCAGGCUGCCGCCACAUCUAUCAGGUUAAUGUUACCGAUAUCGAUCCACCAAAUGAGACUUGACUUCAGCCAGUUACAACUUGUUUCUGUCGCAUCUGAUGGUCGAAGAUAGAGAAGAGAAGAGCCUACCGGCAGUGCUCUGCUGGAGCUGAGCAGCAGCAGGUCGAUGAGGUCUUUGCCGUACCAGACCAGCAGCUCCUCGUCCUUCUCAAUGCGGCGGAGCGAGCGGUAGAAGAGCUGGCCGUUCUUCACGUAGGCCUCCAGGUUCUGCUCCUCUUUGUCGCGGGCGGACUGGACCAGCCGCAGCCACAUCAGGCCCUCUGAGGUGCUGUUGGCUGCUGAGUAGAGAUGGAUACCUACAACUAUGAGGCCUUCCUCCACGUCUCUGAUUCGCUCAGACUUCUUCAGUGAUUCAGCGCAUCCCGGGAAUGACACAACACAAGCUUUUUGCAAAUGGAUUUCAGCAGACAGACUCUGGCAGCGCCGCAUCCCGGACGUAUUGUCUUCCUGUCACCACUUCUCAUCAAAUAUUAGCCAUGUUUUGUGCUUCAGAGGAAAAAAAAAGCAGCUCGGGAGACUAAUGCAUUGAUCUUCGAUGGGUAAACACAUCACACGAAAAACACAGUUAUUCACCGAGACGUCAAAGUCCUCAGCUGUGGACGUGUUGACAGUUAUUGUUUCCAACAAAGCUGUUUAAUAAAUCUCCCUCCACUUUGAUACGUGGAGAUGAAUAUGUUUUUUUUAUGGUCCAACACACACACACACACACAAAUAUAUAUACACACAUAAGAUAAAGGAAAGAUUUUGUUCCCUCACAAGAGAACUUCACAUCUAAGCUUUACUGUAAUUAUAUAACCCACUACUCUGCACCUGUCCUCCCACCUGUUCUGACCUACUAUUACUGAGGUGCCUUUUAGCAAAGCAUUCAGCCCCAGUCAGUUCAGUAAAAGUCUGUGGUUGUACCAGGCUGCAUCGAAAUGUAAAGCAAAUAAAAACAAAUUAAAAUAACAUUCAGAUAUUGUUGAUAUUUACAUGAUAUAUAUUAUAUAUGUAUAAUGAUAUUUUCCUACAGGAAAAUACAAGUCUGUCGACUUCAGCUACAUUUUUUGUUGUUGUAUUUAAUCUUUUUUAAAAGUAGUCUUUAAUAUUUCAGUUUAAAAACGUCAGGCUGGUGUUAGCACAGGAAUUGAAGCUGAUCUUUCUCACAUAUUUUGCCUCACUGCUGUGAUGUUGUGGAAUUAAAAACCAUCAGGGUGUAACUGUAAUCCCAGCUGUUUGAAAUCAUUUCUUAUUGACCACAAUAUUUUUAUUUUCCGCCAUUUUAUUUUUGAGCGUCCAAGUUCUGAUUGUGAAAUUCACAAAUUCUCUCAAAGGAGAAACAAAUGUUGAGUCCAUAAUGUGUGCACUGAUUUGCUUUUGAUGAUUUGAUUAAAUAACCAGGUGUGAGACUUGUUUAUGUACAGUACAGCUCAGCAUCACUGAGCAUCGUCUUGAAUACUUGCUGUAACAAUGGUCCGUUUGCAGCAUGGCCAUAAUCCCAGGCCCAGUUUUUUGUUCAUGUAAAGUGCCUUGAAUAAAUGAGGCAGUAGGAAGCUCCUUGUUUAUUCUGGCUGAAAUAAUCAGGUUGUAAAAUGAGAAUAAGGUGACACUCUGAAAUGUCAUUGAAAAUAUAUAUAUAUUUUUUUAGGCAAUGUGACGUUGUUGGGUUUUCUUUUUGUACUAAUGUAAGUUUUAGCUUCUAAUAUUUC